Molecule: ribosomal RNA, 497 nt
Filed under: uncultured bacterium
Lineage: Bacteria
Description: partial 16S ribosomal RNA
Rfam family: Bacterial small subunit ribosomal RNA
Source: RNAcentral
GAUGAACGCUGGCGGCGUGCCUAAUACAUGCAAGUCGAGCGAACAGACGAGGAGCUUGCUCCUUUGACGUUAGCGGCGGACGGGUGAGUAACACGUGUAUAACCUCCUUAUAAGACUGGUAUAAUUUCGGGAAACCGGAGCUAAUACCGGAUAAUAUACUGAACCGUAGGGUUCAAUAGUGAAAUACGGCUUUUCUGUCACUUAUCGCUGGAUACGGGCCGCAUGAGCUAGUUGGUAAGGUAACGGCUUAGCAGGGCGACGAUGCGUAUCCGACCUGAGUGACUGGUCGGCCACCUUGGAGCUGGGCCGCGGUCCAGAGUACUGCGAGAGGCAGCAGUAGGGAACGUUCCGCAGUGGGCGAGAGCAUGGCGGAGCGGGGCCGCGUCAGUGAUGACGGUCUUCGGUUCGUGAAGCUCUGUUAUUAGUGAAAAACAGAUGUGUACGUAGCUGUGCACGUCUUGACGGUACCUAGUCAAAAAGCCACGGCUAACUACGUG